GGCAGCGACAGCGCCUCCGGCACGGGCCCAGCCCCCGCGGGCAGCGGCCACGGCCGUGCCGGAGCAGCGGCAGCAGCCGCGCCGGGGAGGAGGAGUGCCGGCGGCUUGGCCAGAGCGGCGGCAGCCGGGGCCGGGGCAGGGUCUCCCCGCUCCGCCCGCCGCCGGUGCCCGCAGCCGCCGUGCCCAGCAGUGUCCGGCGGCAGGCGGAGGUGCUCCCCGGCCGGCGAGGCGGGGGUGGUGCCGCGUUGCCGCCGCCGCGGAGCGGAGCGGAGCGGCCGCAUCUUCAUCUUCAUCCUCCUCCUCCCCCUCCCCGCGGCGCGACCCCGCCGGCUGCCCCCGCCCAGAGGGGCGGGAAGGCAGCGGGCGCUGCCCGCGGUCGAGGCGCGGCCCGAAGGGGCUCCGCAUGGCGUUCCCUCACCCGCCCGCUGCCGCCGAUAAAUCCCAGUGCCGAGGGCAGCGCGGCACUUGGCGGCUGCUGCGCUGCGGGGAGGCGGCGGAGCUCGGGCCCCUCCCCGCGGCGGCGACCCCCAACAGGAGCCGGAGCUCAGGCACUGUGAUGCCCACUGGAGCCAGUAGAGGUCUGGGAACUGCUGAGAAUGUAAGUGAAUUUUUAAUAUAUAAUCAGAUAGGGAAGAAAACAUUACUUAAAUGUCUUCCACUCUGUAUUAAAACAUUUAACUUUUCUUAAGCCCGUUUUCUUUACUCUUUGGCUGCUGAGGAAGUUUUCUAAGGUUAAAUCCUAUUAUCCUGGCUCCUUUAUAAUUUGGGGAAUUCAGAAGGUGUGUCUAGAUCCAAGUGCAGGCUCUUCCCCAAGCUAUUCAUGUGCAAAAGAGCUUUUGCAUUUGUAUAUGAGAUCCAGGCUGUCACACUUUAAAUGAUCCUGCAGCUUUUCCUCAUGGACAGAGUGAGCUGGCAGUCAUCACCAUCUGCUGGCCACACUCAACACCAUUCAGUAAGGCUUGUGACCAGGGGACAAGUAUCUCACUGCUCCUUUCUGUAUUCACUCUGGCUGUCCCUUGCCAGCGAUUCUGCCUGGGCAUCUGAGGAGGACUGGAAAAAAAAGGGAUUGAAAGGGUGGUUCCAGAGCAGCCAGAUUCAAAUGAUGGGGAGAACCCAGAGAGUCUGCAGCCUUAACUAAAGCAGUUUCCCACAAGUGAAUGUCAUUGAGUUACAUCCAUCUCCCAUGCUUCACCAGUGCUCCAGGUGUGACCAGCUCCUGUGUCACUGAUCAGCCCGAUACAGGAACAUUCCCUAAUACAUAACAGGCAUGUUCCUUAAAAUGCUCAUGGCUCUCCCUGCUGUGCAGCUGUGCCCUGGGACCUCCAGAUGCACCACUGCCAGAAGCAAGCAGUAAAGCUGUUACCACACAGGCUUUGGAGCUUGAACUUAGAAUGGAAAAUUUAAAAUGCAGAGGCCAGCAUUUAUCUCCUCUGGUGGUUUAACUUUUACAGCACAGCUUAAUUUGAUCUUCUCUUUUUCACAUAUAGCACAUUCUAGUCAGCCAUUUAAUAAGAAAUUCACCUAAUGUUAAGAGCCACAGUAAAAUAGUCCUUAUUUACUGAUAGAUUUAUAGCCCAGGAGCUUGCAGACAGCACUGUGUGAGCUGUGUGAUGAUUUUAAUGGGUGAGCGGCAUUUUCAUGGAUAAAGUUUCCAUUAUUUCAUAACCAAGCUAUUGCUUUCUAACCGGGCACGCAAUGGGCAUUAUUCAAGAGGUGGAGGGGAAAAGAUAUCUUUCUUUCAGAAAUUAUAUUUUGGAUGCAUGUAAUAGCUCUCUUCUCUA
Long non-coding RNA from Corvus moneduloides (New Caledonian crow), 1781 nucleotides. NCBI's taxonomy places the organism in Eukaryota, Metazoa, Chordata, Aves, Passeriformes, Corvidae. The record is from Ensembl.